Molecule: unclassified non-coding RNA, 2415 nt
Filed under: Haliotis rubra (blacklip abalone)
Lineage: Eukaryota; Metazoa; Mollusca; Gastropoda; Lepetellida; Haliotidae
Description: serine/threonine-protein kinase 16-like, transcript variant X2
Source: RNAcentral
GUCACUUCCGGUAGCAGAAGACAGGUGCUUGUUUUCAUUUAGUAAAGUAAAUGCUUUAACUGUCAAUGCGUGUUCAUGGUAUGAAAUGAAGAACCAUCUUCACAAGAAAAAGUUGCCUAGCAACCACGUAUGAAUACACUUGGACUCAGUUUGAUGUUAAAAAUGGGCUGCAUUUGUGGCAAAGAAUCUAUCAACAUUGACAACAGAAACUUCUAUGUUCGGUCAAGACUUGGAGAAGGAGGGUUCAGUUAUGUUGAUCUGCUAGAAGAAGCGCGGACCCACAAGCUUUUUGCCCUCAAGAGGAUCACAUGUCACUCCAAGGAUGAAGAACGGGUGGCGAUGCAAGAGGUUGAAAUCAUGCGGACAUUUCACCACAACAACAUCGUGCCCCUGGAAACCCACUGCAUGAAGCCAGUCGGACAUUACUCCAAGACACUUGACAUCACCAGUGAAGUGUUCAUCGUUAUGCCGUAUUAUAAGAGAGGUGGUAUACAAGACAAGAUUGAAUACCUAGCAGCCAAGUCGGAGAAGAUGGCGGAGGAGAAGCUGUGGAGAAUGUUCUUGGGCAUUUGUCAUGGUGUCCGAGCCUUGCAUUCCUUCAACCCUCCAUAUGCACACAGAGACCUGAAGCCUGCCAACAUCAUGAUAGCAGAUGAUGAGACCCCGGUGUUGAUGGAUCUGGGCUCGGCAGCCAAAGCUAGGGUUGAUGUGAGGAAUCUCCGAGAAGCCCGGGCACUGCAGGACACUGCAGAAGAGAGGUGCUCAAUGCUGUACAGGGCCCCAGAACUGUUCAACGUAGACUCUAAUGCUAAUAUUGAUGAAAGAACAGACAUUUGGAGCCUGGGUUGUGUGCUGUAUGCUAUGGCAUUCCUGGAAUCUCCCUUCGAGAAGGCCUACCAAAGAGGGGACAGUAUUGCACUGGCUUCCCUCGGACGUAAUGUCAAGUUUCCUGAAAACUCACGUUUCAGCAAGUCAGUGGAAGAUAUGAUCUUCUAUCUGAUGACCCCGAAUGUGAUGGAACGACCUUUUAUCGACCAAGUUAUUUCCCGGGUGGACAGUGUCACACAAGCAAGUGAAAACCGAGUCUGAUUGUCUCCCUUUGUCAUGUGAUCAAAAUACUUGGCUAUUCAUAUCAUGUGACUCAUCCUAGUCUCCUGUGUCAUGUGACCUGACCAUGAUGCAUCAUGUGAUAUGCCCUAGACAUCCUCCCACUAAAGAUGAUCUUUGUUGAGAGAACAGAUACACUAUCCUGCCUGCUUCAAGUGAUUGUCUCUGAUGCUCUGGGUAUCUCUCCUGUGAGAGGUCAUGUUAGCUAAUCCUUCUAAUGUAAUAUGGAACUUAACCAGCUUACUGAUCAGUUAAAAGCAUUAGAAAAUAACUCAAACUCGCUGUUGAACAUGUGUCAAGAUGUAUGAGAGGCAGUUUGGUUAACUUAAGGGUGACAUUGGUUGGUCCAUUGGUUAGCUUAUUAUGUCAGAGACCUGGGUUCUAUUCCCAUGCAAGUGCAUUUACAUCUCUUUAGAGAAAAACAAAACAAAAUCUGAUAGCACACAAUUCAGUUAACAAUUUUUAUGUUUGUUGUUAUGUUGAAGACGUGUCAUGAAAAUGAUUUUGUAAAAAAAGAUUUCAAUUUUUUCAAAUAAUUUCUGUGCAAGGUAAGGAAGCAUGCCCACAUCUUGAUGUAUUCAACAUAUGUAGACAUGUGUUUUCCACUUGGGUUCAAUGUGUGAAGCUGAUUUCUGGUGUCCCCUGUUGUGAUGUUGCUGGAGUAUCAUUGACAGCAGAGUAUACCCCACUGACUCACUCACUCGCUCAGCUGUUCAGCUGUUUGAGAGUGAGUGAGUGAGUGAGUGCUUUUCUCUAGCAAAAUGAACAAUCAGUGUCCAUAUGAGCUGCAUAUUUGCAUAAAAUAUAUUACAAUUGUCCACCGGUAAUUACGUUUAGUAACUCAUGUUCUGGUAUGCAUGAAAAAAUCAAAAGCUUUUAGUGGAACAGUGUGUGUUAUUACCCAAAACAACCUUUUCAGCUUGCAUAUGCAACCUCAACCGUAGUAAAUAAUUUUAAAUAUGCCAUUAAUUAAAACAUGAAUCGUUGUAGUGAGCUUAAAUGAAAUGGGCAUCACAGGGAAGUUACAGGUUACCUAAGUAACACUUACCAGAGCGUUUUAUUAAUGUCUAUGUGUUGGUUUAUAAAGAACAAAUCAAGUGGAUCCAAAGAAGUAAAAAUCUAUUGAAUACCCAAAGAAAACUGUGGACCCAUUUGUGACUGAUAGUGUGUGUUAUUGGUAUUCAAUGGCCAUGCACACACCAUCACCGACCACACAACAUCACUAGCCACACAACAUCACCAACCACACAUCACCAAUCACACAACAUCACUAGCCACACAACAUCACCGACCACACACCAUCACCGA